GAUAUUAAAACAGUUUUCAAGGAGCAAAAGCAGAGGAAAGAAGAGGCCCAGCUAGACUGUAGCAAGGUUAGAAGAUACACGCAAGAUUGCCUGCCACACACAUCGGGUCUUGUUCCUGUCCAGUAUUUGCAUGGAGAUAUCAAGUUAAUUAGGGAGCUCUUUCUGAGAUGAAGAGAAUUCUCAAUGUCAAGAUUUGAACAAGAAGAGAAUGGAAUACACAAUAUGGACAUCCAUAAAAAUUCAUCAGAGAGCAUUUUACUACUGAGCUGCAAAGGUAGGAAAAAUAAAUUUUUUUUGGUUAGAAAAUAUACUUCUUUCAUCUGCGUUUCAAUAAUUUAUUCCCCUUGUUAGAUAUACAUGGAAUUGAUAUUGCUUAUUCUGACUAAGUGAAAAGUGUUAUUUCUACUUACUGCUCAAUUAGAAACAUGUAGUGUUUAAUUGUCAGUUUGAAUUUUUCUUUCAUACUAUUACAGUUUAUAUUUUACUAUAGGCAGAAUUUCCUCUUUAUCCUAAAUUUUGAUAUUCUCCAUAAUUUCAUCGUGCCUUGACAUUGCUGUAUAUAAUUUCUAUACAUCAGGAAGGCAAUUCUGUGUGCAUGUGUGUGUGUAUAUAUAUAGUUAGAAGUUAGAAACUGAAACUCUUUUUUGUCUACCAUCAUUUCAUAUUUUUCUUGCUAUUUCAAACCUAUAAUUUUUAAAGAAACGACUAACGUAAUCAUUCAUAGAAUAUGCUGUCAGUAACUUAACAAUAUAAAUGUUAACAUGGAGGCAUUUAGUUCAGCAUUUGCUUUACUUAAUAGAGUGCAGAAAAUGUGGCCCUUUUCUCAGUUAGGGUGUAUGUGAAGAUAAAUUUAGAAUUUCUAGACUAGUAAAUACUUCUCUGAUAAUAACUUAAUUAUAGCUAUUUCAAACCAAAUUGUUUAAUUGUGGUGAAUCAUAUGUAAAUUGUUCAGAUGUAGGUCAACACCCACGCCCACAUUCUAGCACCUCUUUCCUAAUUCAAGACAACUUUGCAGUGCCUAAAAGAGCUGAACAGUGCAGAUUAGAGACAUAAGACAAAAAAAAAAAAAAAA
This 1072-nucleotide long non-coding RNA is filed under the name Homo sapiens (human). RNAcentral describes it as "mir-99a-let-7c cluster host gene". The record is from RNAcentral. Lineage: Eukaryota; Metazoa; Chordata; Mammalia; Primates; Hominidae.